CCCAUGUGAGUCAUUGCAGCAAUGCCAAGGCAGACGGCUCAGUAACACGUAGUCAACCUAACCUAUGGACGGGGAUAACCUCGGGAAACUGAGGAUAAUACCCGAUAGAUCAUUAUGCCUGGAAUGGCUUAUGGUCCAAAUGAUUCGUUGCCAUAGGAUGGGACUGCGGCCUAUCAGCUUGUUGGUGAGGUAGUGGCCCACCAAGGCUAUUACAGGUACGGGCUCUGAGAGGAGAAGCCCGGAGAUGGGUACUGAGACACGGACCCAGGUCCUAUGGGGCGCAGCAGGCGAGAAACCUUUGCAAUGUGCGCAAGCACGACAAGGUUAAUCCGAGUGAUUCCUGCUAAAGGAAUCUUUUGUUAGUUGUAAAACCACUGAUGAAUAAGGGGUGGGCAAGUUCUGGUGUCAGCCGCCGCGGUAAAACCAGCACCUCAAGUGGUCAGGAGGAUUAUUGGGCCUAAAGCAUCCGUAGCCUGUCCUGUAAGUUUCCGGUUAAAUCCAUUUGUUCAACAAAUGGGCUGUCGAAAAUACUGCAGGACUAGGGAGUGGGAGAGGUAGACGGUACUCGGUAGGAAGGGGUAAAAUCCUUUGAUCUAUUGAUGACCACCUGUGGCGAAGGCGGUCUACCAGAACACGUUCGACGGUGAGGGAUGAAAGCUGGGGGAGCAAACCGGAUUAGAUACCCGGGUAGUCCCAGCUGUAAACGAUGCAGACUCGGUGAUGCCCUGGCUUGUGGGCAGUGCAGUGCCGCAGGAAGCCGUUAAGUUUGCCGCUGGGAAGUACGUACGCAAGUAUGAAACUUAAAGGAAUU
RNAcentral lists this ribosomal RNA (811 nucleotides) under uncultured marine crenarchaeote. RNAcentral describes it as "bacterial SSU rRNA". It matches the Rfam family "Archaeal small subunit ribosomal RNA", at positions 48 to 866 of the family's 1478-position model. Lineage: Archaea; Thermoproteati; Thermoproteota. The record is from RNAcentral.